ACACUGACGACAUGGUUCUACAAUCAACUUUCGAUGGUAGGAUAGAGGCCUACCAUGGUGGUGACGGGUGACGGAGAAUUAGGGUUCGAUUCCGGAGAGGGAGCCUGAGAAACGACUACCACAUCCAAGGAAGGCAGCAGGCGCGCAAAUUACCAAUCCCGACACGGGGAGGUAGUGACAAUAAAUACUGAUACAGGGCUCUUUUGGGUCUUGUAAUUGGAAUGAGUACAAUUUAGAUCCCUUAACGAGGAACAAUUGGAGGGCAAGUCUGGCGCCAGCAGCCGCGGUAAUUCCAGCUCCAAUAGCGUAUAUUAAAGUUGUUGCAGUUAAAAAGCUCGUAGUUGAAUUUCGGGGUUAGUAGGUUGGCCAUGCCUCCGGUAUGUACUGAUCUCACUGAUUCCUCCUUCCUUAUGAACCGUAAUGCCAUUAAUUUGGUGUUGCGGGGAAUUUGGACUGUUACUUUGAAAAAAUUAGAGUGUUUAAAGCAGGCUAACGCUUGAAUACAUUAGCAUGGAAUAAUGAAAUAGGACGUUCGAUCUUAUUUUGUUGGUUUCUAGGAUUGACGUAAUGAUCAAUAGGGAUAGUUGGGGGCAUUAGUAUUCAAUUGUCAGAGGUGAAAUUCUUGGAUUUAUUGAAGACUAACUACUGCGAAAGCAUUUGCCAAGGAUGUUUUCAUUAAUCAAGAACGAAAGUUAGGGGAUCGAAGAUCGAUUCAGAUACCGUCGUAGUCUUAACCAUAAACUAUGCCGACUGGGAAUCGGAUAAUGUUAAAUUUUUUAAUGACUCAUUCAGCGCCUUACGGGAAACCAAAGUGUUUGGGUUCAUGACCA
Molecule: ribosomal RNA, 830 nt
Filed under: uncultured Glomus
Lineage: Eukaryota; Fungi; Glomeromycota; Glomeromycetes; Glomerales; Glomeraceae
Description: bacterial SSU rRNA
Rfam family: Eukaryotic small subunit ribosomal RNA
Source: RNAcentral